AAGUCGUAACAAGGUUUCCGUAGGUGAACCUGCGGAAGGAUCAUUACUAGAGCAAAGGAUAGACAGCGCCCGCGGAGCUUGCUCCCUGGGGCUACCCUACUUCGGUAGGGUUUAGAGUCGUCGGGCCUCUCGAAGAAGCUCGGUCCUGAACUCCACCCUUGAAUAAAUUACCUUUGUUGCUUUGGCGGGCCGCCUCGAGCCAGCGGCUUCGGCUGUUGCGUGCCCGCCAGAGGACCACAACUCUUGUUUUUAGUGAUGUCUGAGUACUAUUUAAUAGUUAAAACUUUCAACAACGGAUCUCUUGGUUCUG
Molecule: unclassified non-coding RNA, 310 nt
Filed under: fungal sp.
Lineage: Eukaryota; Fungi
Description: partial internal transcribed spacer region
Rfam family: Eukaryotic small subunit ribosomal RNA (bases 1-46)
Source: RNAcentral